Molecule: long non-coding RNA, 468 nt
Organism: Polypterus senegalus (gray bichir)
Lineage: Eukaryota; Metazoa; Chordata; Cladistia; Polypteriformes; Polypteridae
Exons: 3
Source: RefSeq, a predicted model, not a curated record
UUCAAGGAGAUAUCGACUCAUGGAAUGAAAAAUAGGUCACAGAGGCCAGCACCAGAGAGGCUAGCAUGUUGCACCCUCUAGUGGUCACAAGGAGCACAACCUAAGAUGCAGGCAUGAUCUGAGCAAAGCUGAACCUUCAGCACCACCAGGACUCUAGGAUAUUUCACAAAAGAUCUUUUGGAUGGGUAAACUGGGCCAAGAUUUGCUACUAACACAGGGGGGUGCGCAUCAGGAGCGGGACCCCCAACAGGAGCAGUGGAUGUUCGGAAGAGGAGAGAGAGACAAGCAAUUGGCCAAAAAGGACAGGUGCUGUUCAGGUUUUUAAGUAUGCGAAGCACAGCUCAAGAAGCAUAUCAUGCGACAGAGCAGCCGCAAUUCUUCAGUGUGGUGAUCUGCGCCUCCACCACCUGAUCAAGGUACCAACCUUCCCCUGUGUUUAUGGAUUGAAUGGCAGAUAUCCCAGAUGUC